GAUGAACGCUGGCGGCGUGCCUAAUACAUGCAAGUCGAGCGAACAGACGAGGAGCUUGCUCCUCUGACGUUAGCGGCGGACGGGUGAGUAACACGUGGAUAACCUACCUAUAAGACUGGGAUAACUUCGGGAAACCGGAGCUAAUACCGGAUAAUAUAUUGAACCGCAUGGUUCAAUAGUGAAAGACGGUUUUGCUGUCACUUAUAGAUUGAUCCGCGCCGCAUUAGCUAGUUGGUAAGGUAACGGCUUACCAAGGCAACGAUGCGUAGCCGACCUGAGAGGGUGAUCGGCCACACUGGAACUGAGACACGGUCCAGACUCCUACGGGAGGCAGCAGUAGGGAAUCUUCCGCAAUGGGCGAAAGCCUGACGGAGCAACGCCGCGUGAGUGAUGAAGGUCUUCGGAUCGUAAAACCCUGUUAUUAGGGAAGAACAAAUGUGUAAGUAACUAUGCACGUCUUGACGGUACCUAAUCAGAAAGCCACGGCUAACUACGUG
Molecule: ribosomal RNA, 497 nt
Filed under: uncultured bacterium
Lineage: Bacteria
Description: partial 16S ribosomal RNA
Rfam family: Bacterial small subunit ribosomal RNA
Source: RNAcentral